AGGAGCGACCGACGAUAUGACGAGGCUUGAAUUCACCCCCGCAUGUCCGGACGCUCCUGGCGUCCUUAGCUCGGAUUUUGGCCAACCGCGUGCGGUAACACACGGGAGACCAGCUUCCGUCCCAUAUCCUCGAGAGGAUGGGGGGACGACGAUUUGUGACACCCAGGCAGACGUGCCCUCGGCCAGAAGGCUUGGGGCGCAACUUGCGUUCAAAGACUCAAUGGUUCACGGGAUUCUGCAAUUCACACCAAGUAUCCCAUUUCGCUACUUUCUUCAUCAAUGCGAGAGCCGAGAUAUCCGUUGCCGAGAGUCGUUUUAGACUUUAUAUUGCAACUCAGCGUCCGCGUAAACCCCGUCUCCGGGUUAACAAACGCAGGCUGUUUAGUUGCAUGUUCCUUGACACUUUUCSUGGCGGGGUUUUGUGAUAUCCGGAAGCUAGGCGCACUACCCAGCCGCGAUUAAAAAUCUUGACGGGGAACAUGCGCAUAACCACG
This 494-nucleotide unclassified non-coding RNA is filed under the name Hurkaea josiae. Its description in RNAcentral is "Arabis josiae sequence contains ITS1, 5.8S rRNA gene and ITS2". The record is from RNAcentral. Lineage: Eukaryota; Viridiplantae; Streptophyta; Magnoliopsida; Brassicales; Brassicaceae.